Oncorhynchus tshawytscha (Chinook salmon) is the source of this 429-nucleotide long non-coding RNA. Lineage: Eukaryota; Metazoa; Chordata; Actinopteri; Salmoniformes; Salmonidae. The record is from Ensembl.
CAAAACCAUCAGCGUAGUUGAGCAUGUGAUGGAGACCCAUUUAAGUCUUAUUUUCUAUUCGGUACUUAGGAAUUUAACCGCAAAAGUUAUUUGGAAUACGUCAAAUGAACGGUCUUAUCUGCAUGUGUUAGCAUCCAAGGGAGAAAACGUGUUACUUCCGCUUGUCAUCCUCCCUCGUCCGCUGUCAGGCGUGAGGAGACAGUGAUGCAAUGCGUCCCGCUCCCUGUCCCAGAAGCCCUGUCACCUGAAGGAAGUGGCAUUAACCACCCUGGACAGCCAGCCACCACUGGGCUGCUGUUGUGGAAUCGUGAUGAAACCAUAUGGAGACUGGGCGGCGUAAAUGACUUCUUAGGAGUGCAGCGAGAUGUGAAGGACGGACUGACAGGAGACGGGAGCGCGGCGAGCACACUAAUGAGCUACAUGCUUCAC